Molecule: ribosomal RNA, 256 nt
Filed under: uncultured bacterium
Lineage: Bacteria
Description: partial 16S ribosomal RNA
Rfam family: Bacterial small subunit ribosomal RNA
Source: RNAcentral
UACGUAGGGGGGCAAGCGUUGUCCGGAAUUAUUGGGCGUAAAGAGCUCGUAGGCGGUGUGUCGCGUCGGCCGUGAAAACCUGCAGCUUAACUGUGGGCUUGCGGUCGAUACGGGCAUCACUGGAGUUCGGCAGGGGAGACUGGAAUUCCUGGUGUAGCGGUGAAAUGCGCAGAUAUCAGGAGGAACACCGGUGGCGAAGGCGGGUCUCUGGGCCGAUACUGACGCUGAGGAGCGAAAGCGUGGGGGAGCGAACAGG